CUUCAACCAUCUGACCUCAGAACAGAGGCAAUGUAAGGGCGGACCCUGAACAGGCCCGGGAGGCAACACUCCAAACCAGCAACUGGCACCGAGCAGGCCCUCCUAUGCCUUCAAGCCUUUCUCUUCAUCGGCAGCCACAGGUGAAGAUGGAGAGGGAUGCCAGGAAGAAGCCACUUUGGAGACAACCAGAGCUUGUUAGUACCUAAAGGCAAUUAACGAGGAAAAGUGGCAUACCAACAAAGGCGCUAGACUCCCACAUGGCAGACUGCAGUUCAAGUCCUGGACCCUGCAGCUUGAAACUGACAUCAGGUGUAUGAAAUCAUACUGUGCCAAGAGAAAAGGAACUCAAACCCUCAGAGGUUCAAACUGGGUUCAAAGCUCCUGCUUCCCAAGAGACCCGAGCAACUAGAAGAGUGUUCCACUGUCCACUUACUCCCCUGCGCCCCAGUGGGAGACAGAGAUCCUUAAAAUCAGCCAAA
Molecule: long non-coding RNA, 479 nt
Organism: Tupaia belangeri chinensis (Chinese tree shrew)
Lineage: Eukaryota; Metazoa; Chordata; Mammalia; Scandentia; Tupaiidae
Exons: 4
Source: RefSeq, a predicted model, not a curated record